Molecule: long non-coding RNA, 268 nt
Filed under: Dendronephthya gigantea
Lineage: Eukaryota; Metazoa; Cnidaria; Anthozoa; Malacalcyonacea; Nephtheidae
Description: uncharacterized LOC114518381, transcript variant X1
Source: RNAcentral
AAUUGGAAGUGAACAAGAUUUUUGCAGAGAUUUUCCUGGUCAAGAGUGCAACAUGAGUCGUGGAUAUGAACUUUACUGUCAGAUGUACAUUGAUUGGAAAGUGAACAAGAUAUCUGCACUGAGAAUGAAUGAAGUUGAAGAAAGUUGAAAGGCACCCCAGAAGAACCUGAAUUAUUUUAGCCCUAUCCUAGAUUCAUUGAAUAUUUUAGUGUGUGAUAACAUGUGUGAAAUGUUAUCAAUUAUGUGACAAUUUUCAAAACUUGGAUUU